Molecule: long non-coding RNA, 5973 nt
Organism: Myotis daubentonii (Daubenton's bat)
Lineage: Eukaryota; Metazoa; Chordata; Mammalia; Chiroptera; Vespertilionidae
Source: RefSeq, a predicted model, not a curated record
GAGAGAGAGAAACAUCAAUGAUGAGAGAGAAUCAUUGAUCGACUGCCUCCUGAACGCCCCCUGCUGGGGAUCGAGCCUGCAACCCAAGCAUGUGCCCUUGACUGGAAUCAAACCCGGGACCCUUCAGUUCGCAGGCCAACGCUCUAUCCACUGAGCCAAACCAGCCAGGGCCUAGUUCAUUUACUUUUUGUUUUAUUUUGAAUUUAUUGCUAUGAAGAUGAGAGCAUUACACCAUUACCCUCUUUAUAUCACUUAUUUGGCAUUAUGGUAUGCAUUCUGAAGCAGGUAAAUCUUGUUUGCUCAUAAGAACUGUGUACAUCCUUUCUUCUUAGCCAAUAGGCAGGGCUAUGUUUGUGAGGAAACGAAAUUAAGACUUGGUAUUUUCUUAUUAAAAAAUGUGGAUCCCGACCCAUUUGAGCUUUCAGAUGAAAUCCAGCUCUGGUCAACACCUGGAUUGCAGCCCCUAGAGAGACCUUGCAGAAGGCCCAGGUAAGCCAUGCCCCGGUUCCUGGUCUGUGGAAACUGAGAUACCACACGUUUUAAGCCACUGUUUGUGGUGGUGUGUUCUGCAGCAGUAGCUGACUAAUCUAUACUAGUAUAUAUAAAACCUAAUAUGCAAAUAGUCCGAACGGUGGAACAACUGAACAACCGAAUAUCUGAACAACCGGUCGCUAUGACGUGCGCUGAUCAACAGGGGGCACACGUGGAACAUGGUGGGUGUCGGCUGUGGCAGGAUGGUGGAGCAGGUGAGCGGGAGGUGCCAGACCAAGGCGGGGUGCCGGUCACUGUCAUCUGGGCGAGCCUCUGCUGGUUACUGAUAAUUCUUUGCUUGCACCUGGUGCUGACACUGGCCCCGCUUGCACUGCAGCUGGUGCCAGAGCCACUGCUCGCACCCGCUACCGGCGCCCAGAGCCACUGCUUGCACCUGCUGCCGGCCCCUGAGGGCUUCUCCACCUGCCCCUCGCACAUGUUGAUGGUGCGGCCCCAGUUGCUCCGCGCCAUCAGCAGGUGGGAGCGGAGGCAACAGGAGCAGGGCUGCCAGCAGAUAGAGGACUGGGGGCUGCAGCGGGAGGGGCUGGGCGGGGGCGAGGAGAAUCGGCCAAGACCCGCCCCUGUGCCCACCACAGCCUCGAGGCCCACAGUUACUUUCAAGGUGCACGAAUUUGUGCACUGGGCCCCUAGUACACUGAUAAAAGCACACCACAACCACUUGCCAAUUUAUUGAACUAUUCAACUUCUGCUCGUUUCCCAUCUUUUAGCACUUGGUCUGUUUGCUGUGCCUUUGUUCCCUUUCUUUCCGGGAUUGUGAUUGGGGGUACAUGUUAGCACUGGGCCAUCAUCUUCCUUCUGCUCUGGGAGAGUGAUCCACCCAGCAAAUCCGUGGAGUAAGGGCUCUCUGUUAUCUGGUUUUGCCCUUAUUACCUGCUUCUUUUUUAAAAUAUGGAAUGCUUCAUGAAUUUGCAUGUCAUUGCGCAGGAGCCAUGCUACACUUCUCUGUAUCGUUCCAAUUUUAGUAUAUGUGCUGCUGGAGCGAGCACAUUGCCUGCUUCUUAAGAUGGUUUGGAGGCAGGAACUGUGGGAUCCUUGAAUUCCAUCCCUCCAGCUGUCAGGAGUCUACCCCUAUGUUGGCUUAGGAUUUGGCUACGGUGUGUGUGAAGCUCUUCGGAAGGUGUUUAUCUCAAAGCAAAGAUCAUGCCCAGCAGGGUGAGGGAGGGAGGCCAGACUUCCACAGCUGGCCCUCCCCCUAAAUUGCAGCGUGAUCUCUGGCAGCAUUUAAGCCUGCCCUGGCCUCCAUGUUCCUAGAUGCAAAAUGGUAGUAAUUCCUCCUUUCCUUGUCUGAGAUGCCAUGAGGAUUAAGUGGGAAUGCGUAGAGGGGUUUUAUAACCGUCAAGUGCUGCAUAAAUGUUGAUGGUAUAACCAAUCCAAUCAGAGUCUCAGUGCUGGACCAAGCUCAGAGAACACCAAAGCUGGCAUUCCUGAGGAGGUCAAGUUCUCCCAAUGGCCAUCAGCACAGAGAAAGACAUGGGGUGGUAGGGGCAGGUGCAUUGGUCACAAUCACUGAUGCGAAUGAUUCCUCCAGCUUGAAACCCGAUACUUGGGGAUCAGCAGCCACUGCGCCCUGUCCCUGUCCCUUGAUCAGGAGGGCGUGGGGCAAGCAGACCUCCUCCUCAGAAGGUGCAGUGGGGGGGCCAGUGGAGCCCUAAUUUUAGGCCUUACAUCACAGCUUGUGUUUUUUCCCAUACUACCUACGAGAUGAGUUGGACAGUCCUGGGUUCAAACGCAGCCUGAUUGGGCUCCUGCUCUUGCCAUAGACGCCAUCCCCCUGUGUGCCAGUCUUACCUUCACCCAGGGACUGGUUCUACUUGCCUCCUAGGGUGAAGGGGAGAGUGGAAGGAAAGGGUGCGGAGGGUCCAGCACAGACUGGGUGCCCCAAGCAUGAGUCUUGUUAGAUUUGGGGGAGGCGAGGCUGUAGGACUUACCACACCACACUGGGUUCAUCAGAGUGCUGCCCCUCUCUUGUAGGUCAGAGGGCAGUCCUGUGCCAUCUUCCCCAGGCCCAGUGGCCACCAGCAGGUGCCAGCCAGGCUCGCAGCUGUCAUGCUUCUGACCAUAUUUGAGCAAGAAUCUUUGGUCGCUAUUAAUAACCACAGAGGCAGGAUGGGGAGGUGGCUCCUAUAAAGCCGGGUCUGCCAGCCCCAGCGGCUCCUUCAGCCCUUGAGACCUUUACCCCCUCCCUGUUGUGAGAGAAAAAGAAAAGUUUCACAUCUGAGUGAGAUCAUGUGAUGCUUGUCCUUCUCUGACUGGCUUAUUUCACUUAACACGAUACCCUCCAGGUCCCUCCAUGCUGUCUCAAGGGUGCUUCUAUAUUGUGCAGCAGAGGGCGAACCCAGCGGCUUGGAGGACCCAAACCCUUACAUUGGAAGGAAAGAGCUGGCUCUUGGUACGCGUGGGAGAUCACCUAUAAGCUGAGAAUCGUCCUGCCUGGUAAGAGUGUCUUAGGUGACCUGGGCCUCAAAGCCUGCCGUGCCGUCUGUGCUAACGGUGUGGCUUAGGGUGGGGGCCUUGAGCCACGUAAUGUCAAUGUGAUCUCUGGAGUCGCUGAAGACCGAGUAGGUUCGGCCACCUGGUGCUCCGUUCCCGUGUGGCUGAGCUUGCUGGGAGAAUCAGGGCUUUGGGCACAACCGGGAGGGGCUCACUGGAAGCUCAUUUCCGGUUUCUCCUAGACUCCCGUGUGCACCCGUUUCCUUUGCCAAUUUUAAUCUUCAUCCGUUCGCAGUAAGAAAGCGGAACCAUGGGUAUAGCAGCUUUUCUGAGUCCUGUGAGUCCUUUUGGUAAAUCAUCGAUCCCAAGGCGGGGUUUCACGUGUUGGUUCAUUGAAUGAUUGGCCAGGAGUAGGUCAGACCCUCUUGGCAUCCUAAUGGCUCCCCCACAAGUUCUGGAGUGAACGGAGCUGGGUUCCCUCCUGGGGAGGGUGGUGGGCUAGUGACCUUGCUGUGUGAGUCUGGGUGAGUUCCUGGACCUUUCUGAGCCUCAGUUUACUCAUCCCUGAAAUGUACACAAUGACACCAGCGUCUCGGGGUUAAAAGUUAAAAGGUAUCCACCAUUCACUAUGGGAGAGCUGAUUAUUAUUUCUCUCGUGUUUGUCGCUUAAUAACAAUACCUGUGAUUGAAAAGUGUUUAAAUUAAUACUACCUAUUUAGCAUAGAGAAGUUGGGAAACGCUGAUUAAAAAUACAAGACACAGCCACGCGGGAUCUGGACACAGGGUGCAGCCUCACCUGAUGAAGGGGCGGGAGAUGGCCAGCACAGUGCGGAUGAACCAGGACGGGUGGACGAUGAUUAAGGACUUCAGGUUCUUCCGUAACCUGCGUGGGAAGGCAGAAGCAGCAGGAUGGGCUCCGGGGGCAGGCCCUGGGGAGGGAGGGCUGCCUCCUCCGCCCCCCCGGGGGCAGCACCACGUAACACGGAGAAGGCAGAGGCUCUGAAAGCUAAGCCCCUUGGCGGAGUUUGCAGGUGGCGGAGCUGUCUCUCUCCUACAUUAGAGUCUGAGCAAUUUUCCUUUGUCACGCUGAAUUGCAUUCCCCCGUCUCGCCCCAAACCCAUAACUCCUGGGUCCCGAGAAGGGGACACUAUUUGGAAAACAGGGUCUUUGCAGACGUAACGCUUUCAGGUGAGGUCAGACCAGAGCAGGGUGGGCCUCUAAUACAUGACGCGUGGCGUCCUUGUGAAAAGAGGAAAUUGAAGACACAGACGCACGCUCAGGGAGGUGCCAUGUGGAGGUGAAGGCAGAGCUGGGGUGAUGCAUCUACAAACCAGGGGGCACCAAGGCUUGCCGGCGACCACUAGAAGCUGGGGGAGCACGGAGCAGAUGCUGCCUCAGGGCCCCAGGGUCUCCCUCUGGAACCAGCCCUGCUCGGGGUCCCCUUGCACCGGAGGCAGGCCCCGCCCCCCCCCUCACCUUCUGUCGAUCAUCUGGUAGCACUUCUUCAGCCAGCUGAUGCCCGGCAUCCUCCGCCGGGGGGUGGCACCAUUCAGGUACACGAUCAUGUAAUCCUCUGCCACCAGGAGUUCCAAACUGCUGAUGACGUACCUGGUCACAGGGCACGGAGGACAGGGGACCCAGUGAGAGCGAUCCUGAGUUAGAAAGCCCCAGUUCCUGGGACUGGACACCUGUGGCACCUGCUCCCUUUGCCACCCCCUGCCCCAGCUGUGCCAGCCACACCUGUGCAGGAACUGUUGGCUGUCCCAGUGUUACACUCCAGGGGGUGUGUGUGGAUGUGAUUAACCCCAGCCCACCCCAAAUUUGUGUCCGUGAGUAUAAUGAUUAUAGUAGUUACUAUUUAAUUGAGCACUUACUAUGUGCCAUGCUUUAUAUGCAUGACUUCACUUACUAUCUCCACUAAUUCUGGGGAUGGGUCUCAAUAGCCCCAGAUAUAGCUGGGGAACAGGCACCCACCGUAGGUAACUCACGGCACCAGAUGUUAGGGACCUGGGGUCCCUCCUGGCUCUAUCUCUCUCUGAGGGAUUUCAGAAAAAUCCUUUCUGCUCUCGUAGCCUCUCCUUUCUGAUUUGUAAUUGGGUUCCCUGGUCUCUCAGGCCACUUCCCAUUCUGACCUCCCACAGGUACCUCCUCAUCCUCCAGCCCACCUGGCACCCAAGCCCUGCUGUGUAAGAAGGGAAUCUUCAUAAUAACGAUAGUGAGUGAUCAUGACUUAUAGAGCUCUUACUGCCAUCUGCCCGGUGCUUCAUAUGUAUUAUCUGGCUCCGUAGCAACAGAACGCUACCUGUGUGUCCUUGGGCAAGUGACUUACUGUCUGUGCCUCGGACUCUGCCCCUGUCGAAGGGGAGGCGCCCACCCCACAGGGUUAUGGGGAGGAUGGAGUGCGUCAUCAGGGACGCAGCACGCAGCCUCGUGGCUGCCGCAUAGCGAAUACUCAAUACAUGACAGCGACGCUGACGAUCAUGAUUGCACCGAUGAGGCCCAGUGGGUGAGCAGGGAACUCAGAUCCAGGUCUGCUGGUGGCCCAGCCCCUGCCUGGUGCCAGGCAGAGCCCCCUCCCAAUGUGGUUCGCACAGCCUGGUCCAGCCCACUGCCGGGCCCUCAGGAAUGUCGGGGGGUGGCGGGGGGGGGGGUGUGUGCAGCCGGCGGCCACUUACAGGAAGAGGUGCUCCAUGAGGUAGUGGUAGUCGGGAGAGCUGCUGUCUGGGAGGAAGCAGGCGGCAAAGACGAUGAUGGCACUGAGGCCCUCACCAUAGUACCCUGGGGAGAGGCCGCCAGUGAGUGUCCGGGCAGAGCCCUCGCUGAGCUCUAAGCUCUGAGCCGCCCCAGCCCCUGACCUGUCCUGCCUUUGGUAGGGAACGCCAGCCAUCCUCCUAGGCACCCCCUAUGUGCACCCGGCAUCCAGGGCUCAUCCUCAUGCACGUUUCACCCCCACCCAACCAGAGACGAGAGUGUAGCAUCCCCGUGGCCCCU